GAUGAACGCUGGCGGCGUGCCUAAUACAUGCAAGUCGAGCGAACAGACGAGGAGCUUGCUCCUCUGACGUUAGCGGCGGACGGGUGAGUAACACGUGGAUAACCUACCUAUAAGACUGGGAUAACUUCGGGAAACCGGAGCUAAUACCGGAUAAUAUAUUGAACCGCAUGGUUCGAUAGUGAAAGACGGUUUUGCUGUCACUUAUAGAUGGAUCCGCGCCGCAUUAGCUAGUUGGUAAGGUAACGGCUUACCAAGGCAACGAUGCGUAGCCGACCUGAGAGGGUGAUCGGCCACACUGGAACUGAGACACGGUCCAGACUCCUACGGGAGGCAGCAGUAGGGAAUCUUCCGCAAUGGGCGAAAGCCUGACGGAGCAACGCCGCGUGAGUGAUGAAGGUCUUCGGAUCGUAAAACUCGGUUAUUAGGGAAGAACAAAUGUGUAAGUAACUAUGCACGUCUUGACGGUACCUAAUCAGAAAGCCACGGCUAACUACGUG
RNAcentral lists this ribosomal RNA (497 nucleotides) under uncultured bacterium. Its description in RNAcentral is "partial 16S ribosomal RNA". It matches the Rfam family "Bacterial small subunit ribosomal RNA", at positions 28 to 507 of the family's 1533-position model. The record is from RNAcentral.